Molecule: ribosomal RNA, 468 nt
Filed under: uncultured bacterium
Lineage: Bacteria
Description: partial 16S ribosomal RNA
Rfam family: Bacterial small subunit ribosomal RNA
Source: RNAcentral
GACGAACGCUGGCGGCGUGCUUAACACAUGCAAGUCGAACGGAAAGGCCCUGCUUUUGUGGGGUGCUCGAGUGGCGAACGGGUGAGUAACACGUGAGUAACCUGCCCUUAUCUUUGGGAUAACUCUAGGAAACUGGGGCUAUAACCGCAUAGAAUCUCUUGCUCCAUGGUGGGGGUUGGAAAGUUUCGGCGGUUGGGGAUGGACUGGCGGCUUAUCAGCUUGUUGGUGGGGUAGUGGCUUACCAAGGCUUUGACGGGUAGCCGGCCUGAGCGGGUGGCCGGCGACAUUGGGACUGAGAUACGGACCAGACUCCUACGGGAGGCAAAAGGGGGAAACAUUGCGCAAUGGGCGGAAGCCUGAUGCAGCAACGCCGCGUGCGGGAUGACGGCCUUCGGGUUGUAAACCGCUGUCGCCUGUGACGAAGCGUGAGUGACGGUAAUGGGUAAAGAAGCACCGGCUAACUACGUG